GACGAACGCUGGCGGCGUGCUUAACACAUGCAAGUCGAACGGUGAAGCGCCUUCCUUUUUGGUGGGUGUGGAUGAGUGGCGAACGGGUGAGUAACACGUGAGUAACCUGCCCCCUUCUUCUGGAUAACCGCAUGAAAGUGUGGCUAAUACGGGAUAUUCUGGGUCUGUCGCAUGAUGGGUCUGGGAAAGAUAUUGUUUCGGUGGGGGAUGGGCUCGCGGCCUAUCAGCUUGUUGGUGGGGUGAUGGCCUACCAAGGCGGUGACGGGUAGCCGGCCUGAGAGGGUGGACGGUCACACGGGGACUGAGACACGGCCAAGACUCCUACGGGAGGCAGCAGUGGGGAAUAUUGCACAAUGGGCGGAAGGCUGAUGCAGCGACGCCGCGUGAGGGAUGGAGGCCUUCGGGUUGUGAACCUCUUUCGCCAGUGAAGCAGGCCUGCCUCGUUUGUGGGUGGGUUGACGGUAGCUGGAUAAGAAGCGCCGGCUAACUACGUG
RNAcentral lists this ribosomal RNA (494 nucleotides) under uncultured bacterium. RNAcentral describes it as "partial 16S ribosomal RNA". It matches the Rfam family "Bacterial small subunit ribosomal RNA", at positions 28 to 507 of the family's 1533-position model. The record is from RNAcentral.